AGGAUAGCUCAGUUGGUUAGAGCAUCGGGCCGUUAACCCGAAAGUCGCGGGUUCGAUUCCCGCUCCUA
Molecule: transfer RNA, 68 nt
Filed under: Roseibium album
Lineage: Bacteria; Pseudomonadati; Pseudomonadota; Alphaproteobacteria; Hyphomicrobiales; Stappiaceae
Also listed under: 6 other names
Description: tRNA-Asn
Rfam family: tRNA
About the family: Transfer RNA (tRNA) molecules are approximately 80 nucleotides in length.
Source: RNAcentral